ACCUUAGAGACCAACUAAGUUUGUUAUUGGUAUGAGCUUUCGUGUGCAUGCACACUGAUAUAACAACACAAAAACUCAUACCAAUAACAAACUUAGUUGGUCUCUAAAGU
Non-coding RNA from Podarcis lilfordi (Lilford's wall lizard), 110 nucleotides. The record is from the annotation of a GenBank genome assembly. NCBI's taxonomy places the organism in Eukaryota, Metazoa, Chordata, Lepidosauria, Squamata, Lacertidae.